This is an RNA transcript of Nycticebus coucang (slow loris), 1500 nucleotides long. It is a transcript of the gene named hsc70-interacting protein-like, with no coding region annotated. The transcript has a single exon. Lineage: Eukaryota; Metazoa; Chordata; Mammalia; Primates; Lorisidae. The record is from RefSeq and is a predicted model, not a curated record.
AAACAAAAUGUGGUGUAGCCCCUUCUACGCGAUCGCGCUGAGCUACUAGUGUCCGGGCCUGGAAUCGGACCGCAGCAUCCUCAGCCACGUCGUCUGCCUCCUGACUAUGGACCCCCGCAAAGUGAACGAGCUUCGGGCCUUCGUGAAAUUGUGUAAGCAGGAUCCGAGCAUUCUGCACACCGAGGACAUGCGCUUCUUAAGGGAAUGGGUGGAGAGCAUGGGGGGUAAAGUACCACCUGCUGCUCAGAAAACUAAAGACGAAAACAUCAAGGAAGAAAAAACAGAUAGUAAGAAGGCAGAAGAAAACAUAAAGACAGAGGAACCAUCAAGUGAGUAGAGUGAUCUAGAAAUUGAUAGUGAAGGUGUGACUGAACCAGACACUGAUGCCCCUCAAGAAAUGGGAGAUGAAAAUGCAGAGAUAACUGAGGAGAUGAUGGAUCAGGCAAAUGAGAAGAAAGUGGCUGUCACUGAUGCCCUAAAUGAUGGUUAGCUACAGAAAGCCAUCAACGUGUUCACAGAUGCCAUCAAGCUGAAUCCUCGGUUGGCCAUUUCGUAUGCCAAGAGAGCCAGUGUCUUCAUUAAAUUACAGAAGCCAAAUGCUGCCAUCCGAGACUGUGAGAGAGCCAUUGAAAUAAAUCCUGAUUCAGCUCAGCCUUACAAGUGGAGAGGGAAAAGCACACAGACUUCUGGGCCAUCGGGAAGAAGCAGCCCAUGAUCUUGCCCUUGCCUGUAAACUGGAUUAUGACGAUGAUGUUUGUGCUAUGCUGAAGGAAGUUCAACCUAGGGCCCAGAAAAUUGCAGAACAUCGGAGAAAGUAUGAGAGAAAACGUGAAGAGCGAGAGAUCAAAGAAAGAAUAGAAAGGGUUAAGAAGGCUCAUGAAGAACAUGAGAAAGCCCAGAGGGAGGAAGAAGCCAGACGACAAUCAGGAGCUCAGUAUGGCUCUUUUCCAGGUGGCUUUCCUGGAGGAAUGCCUAGUAAUUUUCCUGGAGGAAUGCCUGGAAUGGCAGGAGGCAUGGCAGGGAUGCCUGGACUCAAUGAAAUUCUUAGUGAUCCAGAGGUUCUUGCAGCGAUGCAGGAUCCAGAAGUCAUGGUGGCCUUCCAGGAUGUGGCUCAGAACCCAGCAAAUAUGUCAAAAUACCAGAGCAACCCAAAAGUUAUGAAUCUCAUCAGUAAAUUGUCAGCCAAAUUUGGAGGUCAAGCGUGAUGCCCUUCUGACAAAUAAAGCCCAUGCUGAAGGAAAAGCAACCUAUAUCACCUAAUGGAUGUUGCAAUAAUACAAACCAGUGUACCUCUCACCUUCUCAUCAAGGGAGCUGGGGUGCUUUAAAGAUAAUCCCUACCCCUGUCCCCCAAAUGCAGCUCAAGCAUUUUGCAGUGGUUUGCCAUUAGGGUAUUCAUUCAAAUAAUGUUUUCCAACUAGAAAUUACAAUCUUUAAAACACUUUUUAAAACUUAAAAAUAUUUAAAACUAAUUAAAAGGGUGUGGUAAUUUCUACAUUUU